UGGAAGGUAAGAGUGAAAUUGCGCUAGGUGUUAUUCUUUUAAGUUGUAAAGUAGAAGUACGCGGUAAAGUCUCCCGGCUGAGUGAGAACAAAAGCGCUUCUGACACGAAAAAGCAUUGCUUCGGCGGUUAGCCUCAACCGUAACACGUAACGUCAACAUUCUCGGACUAAAACAGAGCAGUGAUGGAGUUUCCUGAAGACUUUAAUCAGCUUGAGCUUCUGAGCACACAUGGACAUCUGAUCCCCCGCGGGGCCAGCAGCCUAUGGUCCGGAAACAAGAAUAAGGAAACAGAGGAGGAGGAGGAGGAGGAGGGGGAGCACAGUGAGGAAUGGUAUCUCGAAAAGGAGAGAAGUCUUGAAGACAAACCAGCGGAGCUCAUUCUGUGGGCAGCGGAAAACAAUCGACUUUCAACAGUCCAUAGAUUGUUAACUGCUGAUCCUUUGCUGGUGCACUGCUGCGAUGAGGAUGGUUACACGCCGCUGCACCGCGCAGCAUACAGCGGUCAUGUUGGUGUUGUUUCUGCUUUAAUUGCUGCGGGGUCUAAAAUGAACCCUCGCACCAUUGACGGCUGGACGCCCCUGCACAGUGCCUGCCGUUGGAGCCGCGUCUCUGUGGUGAGUGUCCUCCUUCAGCAUGGAGCCGAACUGAACACCCAGACCAACGGUGGGCUCACACCACUACACCUGGCUGCUUCCCACAGCAGCUCCUCAAAAUCAGAUUCUGCCCAUACCUUAGAGCUGCUCCUCUCUCAGCGUCACCUGAAGCCAGGGCUCCUCAGCAGCAGCAGAGAGACGGCUAGCGAGAUCGGCCGGCGUAGUGGCCCGCAUCAUUUCCUGUUUGAGAUGGUAGAAGACUGUGUCAACGUGGUACCAGUCUCGUGAACAAAAUCACAGGAGUGCACAAAUUCCAGAGUGAGGUCCUGGACCUUAGGCCCACAGCUCUGUUUAUUAGUUGACUAAAUGUUUAAUCUAUAAAAUGUCAUGUUUGGUCAGAGCAACAAUCCAGAACCCAAAAGCUUCACUGCAACCUUGAACUUUUCUAGACAUUACCUGGAGGAGCUUUAUGUGAGAAUGCAAGAGUGCUAAUCACUUAAACCAGACAUCAAACAGACUUAAACCUGCCACCUCCUUAGUACAAGAUCUGAGUAAAUAGAUCUGGUAACUGUUCAGAGAAUUCACAGCAAAUAACAUUUUUGUUAAAGCACAUGAGCACAUGAGUGGAUAUGUUGAUGAUGUUUCUGUGGUGCCUCUUGCAAGAUCUACCCAGGAGCCAGCCCUCACCAAGUCUGAACGGAGUAUUUCCAGUAGGUGUGAACACAUCUCACAAGGACAACUUCCGGUUCUCUGCUGCAUGUGUGAAAACUCACAACUCCUCACAGUGUCUGGACCUGAUUGAGUUCAUAUGUUAAAACAGAGACUGACUGUACAGAAGUUGAUGCUGCAAAGUGUCUGUGCAAAAUCUGCCUAAGUGUCUUUGAUCAUCCUUGGGGAGCAGGCCAGCGAUGACUAUAAAGGAAGGAGAAAGCUUUCCAGGCUCCGUCCAAAGUUUACCUUGCUCAGGAUCACGGGUCCUAGAGCUAGCCAUGGCAUGCAUCAGGUGAGAAGUGCAGAGAUGCCCUGGAGAGGUCCAACAUGAGGUCAGAGCAAAUCUAUACCACACAAACAAACAGAUUCGACCUAUAGGCAAGUCUUCAUGUGUUUGGAUUUACUGACAAAAACAAGGGAAGAAUGUGCUAAAUCUGCAAAGAAACACUCCAAGCAGGUCCUGGUGGGUUUCAAAUCAAGGACCCUUCUCUCUGUGCGAUCAGUCAGU
RNA transcript from Toxotes jaculatrix (banded archerfish), 1812 nucleotides. It is a transcript of the gene named ankyrin repeat domain 49, with no coding region annotated. The record is from RefSeq and is a predicted model, not a curated record. NCBI's taxonomy places the organism in Eukaryota, Metazoa, Chordata, Actinopteri, Toxotidae. The transcript has 6 exons.